CCUAUCCUGGUAAAUUGUCAAACUGUUCUUAACCCCUUAAGGACCAAACUUCUGGAAUAAAAGGGAAUCAUGACAUGUCACGUGUCCUUAAGGGGUUAAACAGUUUGACUAUUUACUCUGGGAGGGCGCCACGGCACUCCUGGCACCAUAACUACUACAGAGAGCUGUAGUGGUUAUGUGCCUGAAUUGUUUCUUUAAAUAAUCUAUGAGUGCCCCUCCCAGGAUAAGACUCUGGAUCCACCAGUGGUGAAGGGUGAAGUGUAUGUGUGUGAGAGGUGCAGUGUGUGAGGGAUGCAGUGUGUGUGUGUUUGUGAGGGGUGAAGUGUGUAUGUGAGGGGUGAAUUAUUGCAUAAAACCCAAGACAGCAUGAUGCAGAGUUUGAC
Pelobates cultripes (western spadefoot toad) is the source of this 383-nucleotide non-coding RNA. The record is from the annotation of a GenBank genome assembly. Lineage: Eukaryota; Metazoa; Chordata; Amphibia; Anura; Pelobatidae.